This 504-nucleotide ribosomal RNA is filed under the name uncultured Lachnospiraceae bacterium. Its description in RNAcentral is "partial 16S ribosomal RNA". Lineage: Bacteria; Bacillati; Bacillota; Clostridia; Lachnospirales; Lachnospiraceae. The record is from RNAcentral.
CACGUAGUUAGCCGGGGCUUCUUAAUCAGGUACCGUCUGGCGACCCAAAGGUCGCUAUUUCUUCCCUGCUGAUAGAGCUUUACAUACCGAAAUACUUCUUCACUCACGCGGCGUCGCUGCAUCAGGGUUUCCCCCAUUGUGCAAUAUUCCCCACUGCUGCCUCCCGUAGGAGUUUGGGCCGUGUCUCAGUCCCAAUGUGGCCGUUCACCCUCUCAGGCCGGCUACUGAUCGUCGCCUUGGUGAGCCAUUACCCCGCCAACAAGCUAAUCAGACGCGGAACCAUCGUAUACCACCGGAGUUUUUCACACCACUUCAUGCGAAGCUGUGCGCUUAUGCGGUAUUAGCACCUAUUUCUAAGUGUUAUCCCCCAGUAUACGGCAGGUUUUCCACGCGUUACUCACCCGUCCGCCACUAACUCAUAAAUCACUAGGUUUCAAUAUGAGCCCGUUCGACUUGCAUGUGUUAAGCACGCCGCCAGCGUUCAUCCUGAGCCAGGAUCAAACU